Bos taurus (domestic cattle) is the source of this 1251-nucleotide long non-coding RNA. NCBI's taxonomy places the organism in Eukaryota, Metazoa, Chordata, Mammalia, Artiodactyla, Bovidae. The record is from Ensembl.
CUGGCCAAAGAAACAUGCUGAGCAGCAGAGUCUAGGGAUAGAAAUGGAAACCAUAAGGGCAAGUGGAUUUGGUAGAAAAUUAAUAUGGAGAUGAGCAACCACACGCUGUUUAUAGGGCCUUUACAGUCUCAAUGGAUUAGGAAAGAACUGUUCUAGAAAAGAACAGGGCUUAGCUAUUCUAGACAAGAAUGCUAUAGUCUUUCCACUGUUCUACCCAGCCUCCCUUUCUGGGAUCGUUGGACGACAUCCCUCACUCGCAUCUUCCCUUCAGACUCUCCUAGCUUCCAGUAUUUUGAUUCCUUGACUAUUUCCCAGUUCUGCUAGCUUCGAUGAUAUUGGCAUUUCCCACUGCCUCAAGUGAGAAUUUACACACAUGGCUAACAACCUCCUGACCUGUCCCAGAUCAACAAUUCCCCAAUCCUUCAGUCACCAUCACCUUCUAAGAGGUGGGAGAUUCUUGAUAGAAAGAACCAAGCAAGCCAGUUGCUUCAGAUCUCAAGAUCAUUUCUUUGCUGCACAAGCCACCAUACACUGUCUCUGUUCCAGUCUGUUGUUCCCUUUCAGACUGUGUUAUUGUACUUGGCAAAUCCAUGCAAGCUGACAUGGGAGCCUUGUAACAAAGUCCACUGGUAUUUGCUUCCAUGCUGGGAAUUCCUCCAGGCUAUAGUCCUUUCUUUCCCCUUUGCUUCUACUUAUUCAUUGGCUCACCUUGUUUUCUUAUCCAUACUGAUUCCAUACCUUGGCACCCCUCUAGGACAGCGAGGGGACCAGGCACUCUAUCUGGGUCUCUCUAGGAUGCUACCCUACUCAGCCACCUUUGUUCCAUUUUAUCUUAUCAGCAGAGGGUAAUCAAAAUUCCCGUUUGUUUUUUUCCCUAUGGUAUUUCUUGCUGCUUACCUGACUAUUUGAUAUUAUGUAUGUGCAUACUCAGUCGGGUCCAACUCUUUGUGACCCCAUGGACCGUAGCCCACCAGGCUCCUCUGUCCAUGAAAUUCUCCAGGCAAAUAUACUGGAGUGGGUAGCCAGCCAUUCCCUUUUCCAGGGGAUCUUCCUGACCCAGGGAUCAAACUCUUUAUUUCCUGAAUUGUAGGCCAAUUCUUUACUGGGGAAGUCCCUAGUUGAUAUUCUCUUUCCUAAAAGUAAUGCUCAAAAUUAUCCAAGCCAAGCUUCAACCAUAUGUGAACCAUGAAUUUCCAGAUGUUCAAGCUGGAUUCAGAGAAGGCAGAGGGACCAGAGAUUAAACUGCCAACA